This 70-nucleotide microRNA precursor is filed under the name Paramuricea clavata. Lineage: Eukaryota; Metazoa; Cnidaria; Anthozoa; Malacalcyonacea; Plexauridae. The record is from RNAcentral.
CUCGUACCCAGGCUCUUUCCACUACGCGCCUCCUUAGCGAGGCGCGUAGUGAAAAGAGCCUGGGUACGAG